Molecule: ribosomal RNA, 1210 nt
Filed under: Strawberry phylloid fruit phytoplasma
Lineage: Bacteria; Bacillati; Mycoplasmatota; Mollicutes; Acholeplasmatales; Acholeplasmataceae
Description: bacterial SSU rRNA
Rfam family: Bacterial small subunit ribosomal RNA
Source: RNAcentral
GGCAUCUUUACUUUUUUAAAAGACCUUCUUUGAAGGUAUGCUUAAGGAGGGGCUUGCGACACAUUAGUUAGUUGGUAGGGUAAAGGCCUACCAAGACUAUGAUGUGUAGCUGGACUGAGAGGUUGAACAGCCACAUUGGGACUGAGACACGGCCCAAACUCCUACGGGAGGCAGCAGUAGGGAAUUUUCGGCAAUGGAGGAAACUCUGACCGAGCAACGCCGCGUGAACGAUGAAGUACCUCGGUAUGUAAAGUUCUUUUAUUAAGGAAGAAAAAAGAGUGGAAAAACUCCCUUGACGGUACUUAAUGAAUAAGCCCCGGCUAAUUAUGUGCCAGCAGCCGCAGUAAUACAUAAGGGGCGAGCGUUAUCCGGAAUUAUUGGGCGUAAAGGGUGCGUAGGCGGUUUAAUAAGUCUAUAGUUUAAUUUCAGUGCUUAACGCUGUUGUGCUAUAGAAACUGUUUUACUAGAGUGAGUUAGAGGCAAGCGGAAUUCCAUGUGUAGCGGUAAAAUGCGUAAAUAUAUGGAGGAACACCAGAGGCGUAGGCGGCUUGCUGGGACUUUACUGACGCUGAGGCACGAAAGCGUGGGGAGCAAACAGGAUUAGAUACCCAGGUAGUCCACGCCCGUAAACGAUGAGUACUAAGUGUCGGGUAAAACCGGUACUGAAGUUAACACAUUAAGUACUCCGCCUGAGUAGUACGUACGCAAGUAUGAAACUUAAAGGAAUUGACGGGACUCCGCACAAGCGGUGGAUCAUGUUGUUUAAUUCGAAGAUACACGAAAAACCUUACCAGGUCUUGACAUUUUCUUGCGAAGUUAUAGAAAUAUAAUGGAGGUUAUCAGGAAAACAGGUGGUGCAUGGUUGUCGUCAGCUCGUGUCGUGAGAUGUUAGGUUAAGUCCUAAAACGAGCGCAACCCUUGUCGUUAAUUGCCAGCAUGUAAUGAUGGGGACUUUAACGAGACUGCCAAUGAAAAAUUGGAGGAAGGUGGGGAUUACGUCAAAUCAUCAUGCCCCUUAUGAUCUGGGCUACAAACGUGAUACAAUGGUUGAUACAAAGAGUAGCUGAAACGCAAGUUCUUAGCCAAUCUCACAAAAUCAAUCUCAGUUCGGAUUGAAGUCUGCAACUCGACUUCAUGAAGUUGGAAUCGCUAGUAAUCGCGAAUCAGCAUGUCGCGGUGAAUACGUUCUCGGGGUUUGUACACACCGCCC